UUGCACGCUGGCGGCAGGCUUAACACAUGCAAGUCGAGCGGUAGCACAGGGGAGCUUGCUCCCUGGGUGACGAGCGGCGGACGGGUGAGUAAUGUCUGGGAAACUGCCUGAUGGAGGGGGAUAACUACUGGAAACGGUAGCUAAUACCGCAUAACGUCGCAAGACCAAAGAGGGGGACCUUCGGGCCUCUUGCCAUCAGAUGUGCCCAGAUGGGAUUAGCUAGUAGGUGGGGUAAUGGCUCACCUAGGCGACGAUCCCUAGCUGGUCUGAGAGGAUGACCAGCCACACUGGAACUGAGACACGGUCCGGACUCCUACGGGAGGCAGCAGUGGGGAAUAUUGCACAAUGGGCGCAAGCCUGAUGCAGCCAUGCCGCGUGUGUGAAGAAGGCCUUCGGGUUGUAAAGCACUUUCAGCGAGGAGGAAGGUGGUGAGCUUAAUACGUUCAUCAAUUGACGUUACUCGCAGAAGAAGCACCGGCUAACUCCGUG
This 489-nucleotide ribosomal RNA is filed under the name uncultured bacterium. RNAcentral's name for it is "partial 16S ribosomal RNA". It matches the Rfam family "Bacterial small subunit ribosomal RNA", at positions 30 to 507 of the family's 1533-position model. The record is from RNAcentral.